CCAGACUCCUACGGGAGGCAGCAGUGGGGAAUAUUGGACAAUGGGGGGAACCCUGAUCCAGCGACGCCGCGUGAGUGAAGAAGUAUUUCGGUAUGUAAAGCUCUAUCAGCAGGGAAGAAAGAAAUGACGGUACCUGACUAAGAAGCCCCGGCUAACUACGUGCCAGCAGCCGCGGUAAUACGUAGGGGGCAAGCGUUAUCCGGAUUUACUGGGUGUAAAGGGAGCGUAGACGGCAGUGCAAGUCCGGAGUGAAAGCCCGGGGCUCAACCCUGGGACUGCUCUGGAAACUGUAAAGCUGGAGUGCGGGAGGGGCAGGCGGAAUUCCUGGUGUAGCGGUGAAAUGCGUAGAUAUCAGGAGGAACACCGGCGGCGAAGGCGGCCUGCUGGACCGUAACUGACGUUGAGGCUCGAAAGCGUGGGGAGCAAACAGGAUUAGAUACCCCGGUACC
RNAcentral lists this ribosomal RNA (449 nucleotides) under uncultured bacterium. RNAcentral describes it as "bacterial SSU rRNA". It matches the Rfam family "Bacterial small subunit ribosomal RNA", at positions 331 to 794 of the family's 1533-position model. The record is from RNAcentral.